Molecule: ribosomal RNA, 500 nt
Filed under: uncultured bacterium
Lineage: Bacteria
Description: partial 16S ribosomal RNA
Rfam family: Bacterial small subunit ribosomal RNA
Source: RNAcentral
GACGAACGCUGGCGGCGUGCUUAACACAUGCAAGUCGAACGGGUCUGCCCUGUUUUUUGCGGGGUGGGUCAGUGGCGAACGGGUGAGUAACACGUGAGUAACCUGCCCCUCACUUCUGGAUAACCGCUUGAAAGGGUGGCUAAUACGGGGUGUUCUGGCUGUGCCGCAUGGUGUGGCUGGGAAAGAUUCACUUUUGUGGUGUUUUGGUGGGGGAUGGGCUCGCGGCCUAUCAGCUUGUUGGUGGGGUGAUGGCCUGCCAAGGCUUUGACGGGUAGCCGGCCUGAGAGGGUGGGCGGUCACACUGGGACUGAGAUACGGCCCAGACUCCUGCGGGAGGCAGCAGUGGGGGGUAGUGCACAAUGGGCGGAAGCCUGAUGCAGCGACGUCGCGUGAGGGAUGGAGGCCUUCGGGUUGUGAACCUCUUUCGCCGGUGAAGAAGGUCCUGCUCUUUGUGGUGGGGUUGACGGUAGCAGGGUUAUGAAGCGCCGGCUAACUACGUG